GAUAGCCCCGCCGCUUUCUCUAGGCAGUGAGAGUUACCAGCAGCAGCCUUGCCCCAGAGGCUAUUACUGCCCUCCCCUGGUGCCUGCCCCUCUGCCCUGUCCCCCUGGGACCCAUGGGAGCAGCAACUUUGCGAAGCGUGUAGAGGAGUGCCAGGCCUGUCCUGCUGGUUCCUUCAAUCACCUUCCGGCUCAGCCUGCAUGUUUCCCCUGUGGCAGCUCUUCCUCCUCUCUGCCUGGUGCUGCCAGCUGUACCUGCCGUGGGCUGAAUCGGGCUUUCCAGCAGUCAGACGCCUCUUGUAUCUGCCAAGCAGGUUAUGUUUACUAUGAUGAGAGAGGCAAGAAAAACCCUGACAGCAACAGUGAUCAGGACUGCCGACUUCAGGUGGAUGACCUCUGUGCUCCUGGAGAGGUCCGCCUAGCAUCCACGCGUCAGUGUGUUUUUCCCGAGCUAUAUGACUGCUCUGCUUCUUGUGGACCUGCAGGUGGAGAGAUUAAUGCAGAGCUGGGCAUAUGUCACUGCAAGCAGUACGUCUCUGCUGAGGAGCUUUGUGACCAAGCAUGUUUGCUGAGAGCCCCGCAGAUCUCCUUGAGAUUUGGCAUCAAUAGAGAGCUGCUUCUGAGGGUGGAUGAAAGAGAGGAGAGGGUAAGUAAUGGAGUUGGGGACUGCUGUCUGAGUAUGAGUCUGG
This 686-nucleotide long non-coding RNA is filed under the name Dromaius novaehollandiae (emu). RNAcentral describes it as "lncRNA (ENSDNVG00000014667.1)". Lineage: Eukaryota; Metazoa; Chordata; Aves; Casuariiformes; Dromaiidae. The record is from RNAcentral.